UAACAAUGAUUUCCCUAGUAACGGCGAGUGAAGAGGAAAGAGCUCAAAGUUGGAACCUGUCUGGCUUAGCUAGACCGGAUUGUAAACUGUAGAAACAUUUUCCUGACAGGCUGGGCAAAAAGUCUUUUGGAACAAGGCAUCAUAGAGGGUGAGAAUCCCGUCUUUGGCCCAAGUUAGUUGUCUAUUGUGAUAUGUUUUCAAAGAGUCAGGUUGUUUGGGAAUGCAGCCUAAAUUGGGUGGUAAAUCUCACCUAAAGCUAAAUAUUUGCGAGAGACCGAUAGCGAACAAGUACCGUGAGGGAAAGAUGAAAAGAACUUUGAAAAGAGAGUUAAACAGUAUGUGAAAUUGUUAAAAGGGAACCGUUUGGAGCCAGACUGGCUUGACUGUAAUCAUUCCAAGACCUUAAAAAUCGAAAGAUGCACUUGCAGUUUAUGCCUGCCAACAACAGUUUGAUUUGGAGGAAAAAAUUAUUAUUGAAUGUGGCCUUUAUUUAUUUAGGGGUGUUAUAGCGUUUUAAUCAUACUCUGGAUUGGACUGAGGAUCGCAGUGAAUGCCUUUAGGCAAAUUACUGGUUUGCUUUCGCUAAUAAAUAUCAGAAUUUCUGCUUAAGGUGGUGUUGAUGUUUAAAGGAGAAACUCAUUCUAGUAUAUUUUAAUUCGCUUAGUUGUUGGCUUAAUGACUC
This 682-nucleotide ribosomal RNA is filed under the name Chaetocladium jonesii. RNAcentral describes it as "eukaryotic LSU rRNA". It matches the Rfam family "Eukaryotic large subunit ribosomal RNA", at positions 66 to 640 of the family's 3401-position model. Lineage: Eukaryota; Fungi; Mucoromycota; Mucoromycetes; Mucorales; Chaetocladiaceae. The record is from RNAcentral.